GUAUGCUUUAGGAGGGGCUUGCGCCAUAUUAGUUAGUUGGUAGGGUAAUGGCCUACCAAGACGAUGAUGUGUAGCUGGACUGAGAGGUUGAACAGCCACAUUGGGACUGAGACACGGCCCAAACUCCUACGGGAGGCAGCAGUAGGGAAUUUUCGGCAAUGGAGGAAACUCUGACCGAGCAACGCCGCGUGAAUGACGAAGUACUUCGGUAUGUAAAGUUCUUUUAUCAAGGAAGAAAAGCAAAUGGCGAACCAUUUGUUUGCCGGUACUUGAUGAAUAAGCCCCGGCUAAUUAUGUGCCAGCAGCCGCGGUAAGACAUAAGGGGCAAGUGUUAUCCGGAAUUAUUGGGCGUAAAGGGUGCGUAGGCGGUCUAGUAAGUCAGUGGUGUAAUGGCAACGCUUAACGUUGUCCGGCUAUUGAAACUGCUAAACUUGAGUUAGAUAGAGGCGAGUGGAAUUCCAUGUGUAGCGGUAAAAUGCGUAAAUAUAUGGAGGAACACCAGAGGCGUAGGCGGCUCGCUGGGUCUUAACUGACGCUGAGGCACGAAAGCGUGGGGAGCAAACAGGAUUAGAUACCCUGGUAGUCCACGCCGUAAACGAUGAGUACUAAGUGUCGGGUUAAACCGGUACUGAAGUUAACACAUUAAGUACUCCGCCUGAGUAGUACGUACGCAAGUAUGAAACUUAAAGGAAUUGACGGGACUCCGCACAAGCGGUGGAUCAUGUUGUUUAAUUCGAAGAUACCCGAAAAACCUUACCAGGUCUUGACAUGUUUUUGCAAAAUGAUAGUAAUAUCGUGGAGGUUACCAGAAACACAGGUGGUGCAUGGUUGUCGUCAGCUCGUGUCGUGAGAUGUUAGGUUAAGUCCUAAAACGAGCGAAACCCUUAUCGUUAGUUGCCAGCACGUUAUGGUGGGGACUUUAACGAGACUGCCAAUGAUAAAUUGGAGGAAGGUGAGGAUCACGUCAAAUCAGCAUGCCCCUUAUGACCUGGGCUACAAACGUGAUACAAUGGCUGUUACAAAGGGUAGCUGAAACGCAAGUUCUUGGCCAAUCCCCAAAAACAGUCCCAGUCCGGAUUGAAGUCUGCAACUCGACUUCAUGAAGUUGGAAUCGCUAGUAAUCGCGAAUCAGCAUGUCGCGGUGAAUACGUUCUCGGGGUUUGUACACACCGCCCGUCAAACCACGAAAGUUGGCAAUACCCCAAAACGGUAGCCUAACUCGUUUAUUCGAGAGGGCGCCGUCUAAGGUAGGGUCGAUGAUUGGGGUUAAGUCGUAACAAGGUAUCCCUACCGGAAGGUGGGGAUGGAUCACCUCCUUUCUAAGGAAACCAAUAAAAUCAAUCAUCUUCAGUUUUGAAAGACUUAGGCAACUAAGUUUUUCUUCGUGACUUCACGAAGGGCCUAUAGCUCAGUUGGUUAGAGCACACGCCUGAUAAGCGUGAGGUCGGUGGUUCAAGUCCAUUUAGGCCCACCAGAGUUAUAGGUUUCGUAAGAACACAAAUUCUUUGAAAAUUAGGUAAAUAAUAGUUAUUUAUCCGGAACAUUAAAGGAAAUAAGAGCGCACAGUGGAUGCCUAGGCACCAAGAGCCGAUGAAGGACRACUCAGACACCUUCGUGUUUUAGAAG
RNAcentral lists this unclassified non-coding RNA (1626 nucleotides) under Candidatus Phytoplasma citri. Its description in RNAcentral is "bacterial SSU rRNA". Lineage: Bacteria; Bacillati; Mycoplasmatota; Mollicutes; Acholeplasmatales; Acholeplasmataceae. The record is from RNAcentral.